AAUUAAAAAGGGAGUGUGACCUAUAUGGAACUUAACCGGUCUCUUUUUUUUUUUUUUUUUUUUGAAAUUCAAAAAGGGAGAGACAUGUAUACAAGUUAACCGAUCUCCUUUACUCACAAAAAUAAAAUAUGAAACCCUAACACUUCACUUUCAAUCUGCCUCCAGCAUUCCAUCUCCUUCCUUUACCUUUCAUUCUAUCUCCUCCCUUUCCUCUUAAUUUGAUUUCCUCUCCUUCACCUUUGAAUUCCCCUGUUCGGAGCCUCGAAAUCGUUUGAGAGAUGUGUGGUUAAAGGGGAAUAACGUUUUGAUUUUGCGAUGAAUCUCCAUGUUGUUGCAGUGAUUUAUUAAAGUUUGAGAGGUUUGAUGAUGAAGUGAUUCCAGUUAUCGAACAAGAGAUUUAUGUUCUAGAUGUUUUGAAAGGAGUUUUAUGGGUUUAUGCAGUUAGAUGAUACUCAUUUUAUGUUGGGUCAUCUUGAUAAAUCAAUCGAUUGUUAUAAAUUAAGAUGGGUUUAAAAUCUAGAGUCAAAUUCUUGGGGAUCUGAUCCCAAAUUUGCCGAAACUACUUAUUUGCUUGUUUUCACACAAGAAUCUCAAAACAAAGGAGAGAGGAAGAAAUUGGAGUACUCAAGUUACAUGUUUGAUAUAGUUAUACGUAUAAAUUACAAUAAUUCAUUUAUAUAUUUUUACUAGAAUUUAAUUAAAGUUUGUUAAAAUUCUUUGUAUCAUAGUACAAACAUUAAUGUGCCAAUGUUAUUCUCUUUUAAUGUUAUCGAUUUAAUUAUAGCAUAAAUCAAA
Chenopodium quinoa (quinoa) is the source of this 795-nucleotide long non-coding RNA. RefSeq lists it as uncharacterized. The record is from RefSeq and is a predicted model, not a curated record. Lineage: Eukaryota; Viridiplantae; Streptophyta; Magnoliopsida; Caryophyllales; Amaranthaceae. The transcript is spliced from 2 exons.